GCGGAACGGACGGCGAAGCGAAAUAUACCGACUACGCUCGUAGAUGCUUAAGUGGCGAUGCCUCUGGACGUGGGUUCGACUCCCACCGUCUCCAUUU
Molecule: transfer-messenger RNA, 97 nt
Filed under: Geobacillus zalihae
Lineage: Bacteria; Bacillati; Bacillota; Bacilli; Caryophanales; Anoxybacillaceae
Description: partial transfer-messenger RNA
Rfam family: transfer-messenger RNA
About the family: Bacterial tmRNA, also known as 10Sa RNA or SsrA, is named for its dual tRNA and mRNA-like properties.
Source: RNAcentral